AGCGNANCGACNACAUUGACCCUUCGGNUGAUUUGUUGGGCGUCGAGCGGCGGACGGGUGAGUAAUGCCUGGGAAAUUGCCCUGAUGUGGGGGAUAACCAUUGGAAACGAUGGCUAAUACCGCAUAAUGUCUACGGACCAAAGAGGGGGACCUUCGGGCCUCUCGCUUCAGGAUAUGCCCAGGUGGGAUUAGCUAGUUGGUGAGGUAAUGGCUCACCAAGGCGACGAUCCCUANCUGGUCUGAGAGGAUGAUCAGCCACACUGGAACUGAGACACGGUCCAGACUCCUACGGNNNNNANCAGUGGGGAAUAUUGCACAAUGGGCGCAAGCCUGAUGCAGCCAUGCCGCGUGUAUGAAGAAGGCCUUCGGGUUGUAANGUACUUUCAGUCGUGNNGAAGGCGUUGNAGUUANUAGCUUCAUCGUUUGACGUUAGCGAC
Molecule: ribosomal RNA, 437 nt
Filed under: Vibrio sp. KR06-12
Lineage: Bacteria; Pseudomonadati; Pseudomonadota; Gammaproteobacteria; Vibrionales; Vibrionaceae
Description: partial 16S ribosomal RNA
Rfam family: Bacterial small subunit ribosomal RNA
Source: RNAcentral